Molecule: non-coding RNA, 224 nt
Filed under: Bacillus sp. (in: firmicutes)
Lineage: Bacteria; Bacillati; Bacillota; Bacilli; Caryophanales; Bacillaceae
Description: Bacillus sp. T-box sequence
Rfam family: T-box leader
About the family: Uncharged tRNA acts as the effector for transcription antitermination of genes in the T-box leader family. T-boxes are found upstream of many aminoacyl-tRNA synthetase genes and some amino acid biosynthetic genes usually in Gram-positive bacteria.
Source: RNAcentral
AUUAAAGCAAUGAGAGGAACUAGUAACAGGAGAUUCAUUCUUUAGAGAGCCGGUGGUUGGUGUGAACCGGUGGAUGAAGCUUGUGAAUCCCUCCUCGAGCAAGGUGCGGAACACCUCCUCAUGAGGUCAGUAAGUACUUUCGGUAGAAACCGUUAACGUUUUUUCGAGGUGGACAGUUUUUUCUGUCAACCAGGGUGGUAUCGCGAGUAACUCUCGUCCCUGUA